AGAAUCAACGCUGGCGGCGUGCCUAACACAUGCAAGUCGAACGAGGUCCAUCCGGUAGCAAUACUGGUGAAGAUCAAGUGGCGAACGGGUGAGUAGCACGUGAGCAACCUGCCCCGAAGACCGGGACAACACCGGGAAACCGGUGCUAAUACCGGAUAUCCCCACCGAGUCGCAUGGCUUGGUGAGGAAAUGGAUUCCGCUUCGGGAGGGGCUCGCGGCCUAUCAGCUUGUUGGUGAGGUAAUGGCUCACCAAGGCUUCGACGGGUAGCUGGUCUGAGAGGACGAUCAGCCACACUGGGACUGAGACACGGCCCAGACUCCUACGGGAGGCAGCAGUGGGGAAUCUUGCACAAUGGGCGAAAGCCUGAUGCAGCAACGCCGCGUGAGGGACGAAGGCUUUCUGAGUUGUAAACCUCUUUCAGCAGGGACGAUCGUGACGGUACCUGCAGAGAAGCCCGCAACUACGCGCCAGCAGCCG
This 478-nucleotide ribosomal RNA is filed under the name uncultured bacterium. Its description in RNAcentral is "SSU rRNA". It matches the Rfam family "Bacterial small subunit ribosomal RNA", at positions 26 to 517 of the family's 1533-position model. The record is from RNAcentral.